Molecule: ribosomal RNA, 253 nt
Filed under: uncultured bacterium
Lineage: Bacteria
Description: partial 16S ribosomal RNA
Rfam family: Bacterial small subunit ribosomal RNA
Source: RNAcentral
UACGGGGGGGGGCAAGCGUUGUUCGGAAUUACUGGGCGUAAAGGCUCGUAGGCGGCCAACUAAGUCAGACGUGAAAUCCCUCGGCUUAACCGGGGAACUGCAUCUGAUACUGGAUGGCUUGAGUUCGGGAGAGGGAUGCGGAAUUCCAGGUGUAGCGGUGAAAUGCGUAGAUAUCUGGAGGAACACCGGUGGCGAAGGCGGCAUCCUGGACCGACACUGACGCUGAGGAGCGAAAGCCAGGGGAGCAAACGGG